RNAcentral lists this ribosomal RNA (254 nucleotides) under uncultured bacterium. RNAcentral's name for it is "partial 16S ribosomal RNA". It matches the Rfam family "Bacterial small subunit ribosomal RNA", at positions 79 to 334 of the family's 1533-position model. The record is from RNAcentral.
CUUUCUUUGCUGGCGACCGGCGCACGGGUGAGUAACACGUAUCCAACCUGCCCUUUACUCGGGGAUAGCCUUUCGAAAGAAAGAUUAAUACCCGAUAGCAUAAUGAUUCCGCAUGGUUUCAUUAUUAAAGGAUUCCGGUAAAGGAUGGGGAUGCGUUCCAUUAGGUUGUUGGUGGGGUAACGGCCCACCAAGCCUUCGAUGGAUAGGGGUUCUGAGAGGAAGGUCCCCCACAUUGGAACUGAGACACGGUCCAA